GAUGAACGCUAGCUACAGGCUUAACACAUGCAAGUCGAGGGGCAGCAUGGUCUUAGCUUGCUAAGGCCGAUGGCGACCGGCGCACGGGUGAGUAACACGUAUCCAACCUGCCGUCUACUCUUGGACAGCCUUCUGAAAGGAAGAUUAAUACAAGAUGGCAUCAUGAGUCCGCAUGUUCACAUGAUUAAAGGUAUUCCGGUAGACGAUGGGGAUGCGUUCCAUUAGAUAGUAGGCGGGGUAACGGCCCACCUAGUCUUCGAUGGAUAGGGGUUCUGAGAGGGAAGUCCCCCACAUUGGGACUGGGACAAGGUCCAAACGCCUACGGGAGGCAGGGAUGAGGAAGAAUGGGCCAUGGGCGAGAGCCUGAAACCGCCCAGUAGCGUGGAAGGGUACCGGCCUAUGGGGUGUAAACUUCUUUUAUAAAGGAAUAAAGUCGGGUAUGGAUACCCGUUUGCAUGUACUUUAUGAAUAAGGAUCGGCUAACUCCGUG
This 490-nucleotide ribosomal RNA is filed under the name uncultured bacterium. RNAcentral describes it as "partial 16S ribosomal RNA". It matches the Rfam family "Bacterial small subunit ribosomal RNA", at positions 28 to 507 of the family's 1533-position model. The record is from RNAcentral.